GUAAGUGAACUGUCUCUCAUUUGUUUCCCAUUGAAAACAUUCUCUGGUUUCUAGAUUUGUAGUGCUUUUUGUUUGACAUAGGCACUGUAGGUAUAUAAAUAAUACAAUUCUUUCAGGUAUGUUUAAAUAAUUUCCUGACCAAAGAGUUAAUUUUAAACAUAAACUAAAAAUCUUAGGAAACAUGUAUUUAAUAACAAAUAGACCUUACCUAAGUUUUCCCAUGACUGAGCUCAUGCCUUUGAGUUAAGAGUUAACACUGUCCAAUAGCGUGUGACCCAAGGGCACUACACCCAGAGCUUGUACGCCAGUGCCCUGCUCAUCCUUGCACCAGGGCCAAGGGACAGUCGCCAAAGGUGGGAUUGUCUUCAGGAACUGACCCAGUAUAUCUUCAGCAGCAUACCACACUUGUACAAAAGACUCCUGCUGUGGGACACAGUUUAUGUUCACAGCCACUGUGCAGUCACUAAAAGGGGAUGGAGAAGAAGGAGCUGAGUAAGGGACGAGAAACUGUUGUAGUGCUGGGUACUGAUGGCAGCAAUGAUAUGGUUGACAUGGAGUUGACUCUUCUUCCAGCUGCAUGUAAAGCACAUUGUGGCACCGCCAUGAGUAAUCCACAUUGAAUUCUUUGAGAUGGCCAAGGCAGAUUCCUACCAGGAGCAGAUUAGCAGAGAUAACCUGGAGAAUCUUUCCACAUGGAACUGUCAGGAGGACUGUCUUGGACAUCAUGAGCAAAUAUCAAGAGAUCUGAAGUAUCAAGAGACUAUUUGGAUGUCAGAGUUUAAUGUGAAAUCUCAUGAAAAAUAUGGGCCAGGAGGUGUGUCAGAUCCAUAUCUGAGACUGAAUUUGACUUCAGGUCACUUGUUUUACAACUCUAGGUCACUGUCAUAUGCACUUCUGCUACUAUGAUGCCAUCCACCAUGAGGUCUUCAAAAGAAUCCAACGAAUACCAGCAUCAUUCCCUUGAAUCUCCAAACCUGUCAAUGUAGAUAGAAGAAAUAUUGAAAUGGCUCAAAUGUAUCACAUGAAACUUGUAUGGUACUGGAUAUCAUUAAAAAAAUAAAAUUGUCCAGGAAGCUGCAGGUGGGAGGAUCAUUUAGAGCAUUAAAAACAAGUACAAGGAUGCUGUAUAACCCAAUGGGAGACCAAUUUCUACUUCUGAUUCAACCAUGAAGUUCUGCUUCCCAUAUAAGAGCUGCUAGAUGAAGACCUCUCUCCCAGCAACCUCCAUAACCCAAAGGACACUGAGCACCAGCGAAUGCUUCCAUGGGGAGAAAAUAGAAGGCGUUUUUGCAGAUUUUAUUGAUGGAAGGCAAAGGCUCCUUGUGAAAUAAUUAAUUUGUGUUGCUGAUUUAAAACCUGAACUUUGAUCAUGGGCAGAAAAAUAGUGUUGCAAUUCAUCCACACUAAAUCCUAGUGUGCUCUCUGGUAGGAAAAAAUAGAGUAGGAGUAGAAAAGACCAUUGGACAUCCAAACUGCACCAAGCAGAUAAUCAUUUUUAGGUAUAUUGGGCUAAGGAUUCAACACCUUCUUACUAAGGGGUUAAAAGUUGACACCAGAAUGGUGCUGUAUGGAAAUUGAAGUGUUUUGUAUGUCAGUCAUACUUAAACUAACUAUAAUGAACUGCAAAUAAAAAUUCCCAAGUGAAUGUACUCUUUUGAGUUUUGUGAGAGGUAGCUCUUUGGAGUGGGCGUUCAACCUGCCCAUUACAGUCAAAGGAACACAGGGGGCAAUGCUACAUAGUGGCAGUGCUAAUAGAUUGGCUUCUCUUACUGUGCUCACUGUUACAAUAGCACUGUGAAGAAUAUGAAAGGUGAAUCUCUCCCAUCAAUGAAUGUGUCCAGGAGAAGUCAGGAUACAUUAUAUGUAAUACACAAAAUUAGUUUAUUUAUAUUUUAUUAUCAAGGUAAUUCAGGUACAUGGUAAAAACAAGACAAACAUUAAAAUAACAAAACAGCCCAUAAUUUUAAAAACAGUUCCCUGACCUGCUACUCCCUACUUCCAGUCUCACUGUUCAGACUCAACCUAUUUAACUGCUUUCUCAUUGACCACUAAGUCUCAGGCUUUGAAUUCUUUCUUUUAUCUCAUCACCAAGCAUUUACUGAACAUCUCACUCUGAAUAAUUAAAACUUUGUGCCCAGCAUGUAUAACACUUCCAUAUUCCCUUCCACAUCAGCUCCUUUUCCUCUUUUCUUUGUUUUCCUUGGUUCUGUCAUUGUUUAAAUUGACUGUAUUUAAAUCCUCAUUGUCUCUCUUAAUUUUAACCGCUGAUUUCCUUCAAAUCCAGUGAGUACUAGGUUCUAUCAAUUUUCUACCAAUUUCAUGUCCCUAGUGUUCACUCCAUGUUUACAUUCCUAGUAUUCCAACCAGGAUAGGGCCCAUUUGUGUCUUAUCUGUAUUGAGACAAUAGAUAUCUUCUGAUGUCUCCUCAUAUCUAUCAGUUUCACAGUUAUACAAGACUGCAAUAGGUGGGACCAUACUAUCCCUUGCUGUGAACCCUUCAGUUGUUUCAUGCUAUUAUGGAAUAAAGGCCUAAUGCUUUUGGCUGGCUUGGCCAUUCAAGG
Molecule: long non-coding RNA, 2561 nt
Filed under: Heterocephalus glaber (naked mole-rat)
Lineage: Eukaryota; Metazoa; Chordata; Mammalia; Rodentia; Bathyergidae
Description: lncRNA (ENSHGLG00100049382.1)
Source: RNAcentral